Molecule: ribosomal RNA, 253 nt
Filed under: uncultured bacterium
Lineage: Bacteria
Description: partial 16S ribosomal RNA
Rfam family: Bacterial small subunit ribosomal RNA
Source: RNAcentral
UACAGAGGGGGCAAGCGUUAUUCGGAAUUAUUGGGCCUAAAGCAUCCGUAGCCGGUCAUGCAAGUCUUCCGUUAAAUCCAGCCGCUCAACGGUUGGGCUGCGGAGGAUACUACGUGGCUAGGAGGCGGGAGAGGCAAGCGGUACUCAGUGGGUAGGGGUAAAAUCCUUUGAUCCAUUGAAGACCACCAGUGGCGAAGGCGGCUUGCCAGAACGCGCUCGACGGUGAGGGAUGAAAGCUGGGGGAGCAAACCGG